Long non-coding RNA from Cydia splendana, 2337 nucleotides. RefSeq lists it as uncharacterized. The transcript is spliced from 2 exons. The record is from RefSeq and is a predicted model, not a curated record. Lineage: Eukaryota; Metazoa; Arthropoda; Insecta; Lepidoptera; Tortricidae.
UAUAAUCUGAGUCCGAAUACCUGAGUCUAACACAGCCACGGCACGAAACUGAGCUUAGCACAGUGUGUUGGGUCGGGCGCAGUGGUAAUUACAAGACCCAGUGGGCCAGACCCAUCCCAGCGUCCCGGACGAUCCAAGACAGCCGAAAAAUUACUCUUAACCUUUUAACCUCCAUAGAAUUUUCAUCGAGCGUGCUCGUGUCACCGGCGGUACGAAGUUACACGAAGUUUUAUCUUAUUUAUCAGACGGCGGUGAAAUUAGCCCGAUUUUGUAUGUCUUAUAUAUCAGUCUACGGCGGUUAAAAGGUUAAAGACCGAGCAGCUCUACAUACAUGGUUAGACGCUACAUGCACUCUGAUUGGCUGCUCGGGUGACACUUCGACACGCAGUCAAGUGCAAGAUGCCCAACUCGCUAACUGAGACAAGUAGACGAAAGGUGUAAGGGCACAUGUACUUUUAGCAUUCCCAAGUUGAGGGAAUAUUGACUAGAAUAAGUUUAAUUUGUUUAAUAGAGAAACAGAGACCUCUAUUAUCCUUAGUGAUAGUGGUCGAGGCUACGUGCUAUAACAAUCAAUGAAAUUUAGCUUUAAGCACUUGAAAAAAUUUAACCUUUAUCUGAAACUAAUUACUUUUCCGACUGUUACAAAACAUAAAAAGAUUCUAUUUAGAAAUAGAGGCCUCCAUGUACUUCAUUGGUCGAUUCAGGAAUUAUGUCCUCAAAGUAAACUAAGGUUUUAUGUACAAAAAUCAGGUCCCAUGUUAAGCUCAAUGACUGCAAACCAGUCAUCUCGGAGACUAUGCUAGGACGGCCCCUACACCCGUUUCAUAGGCGUCUACUGUUAAUACAACGGGUUUAAAUACAAUACUCAUUAAAGCCACCCACACUAGCGUCUCCCGAGCGUCGGGGUUUACUCAACCGGGGUCUACGACAACGCAGCGACGUGAUUUUCCAUAGCGCUGACUAAACUCCAACGCUUAAAAGACGCUAGUGUGGGUUAACGCUGUCCUGUGCUAAGAAUAUCCUCUUUACUAUAGCUUAUUAUUGCCGUUUAUAAUGGGGUUAUGAUUUAGGACUUAAUAAUUUACUAAUUGCAAAAAAUUAUGACAAAAAACGAUUAAAACGCUGUCAUAAAUUAGCUAGCAACCAGUGGAUAGUAAAACCCGCUACAUUAUGCUCAGUUGUUUGUCCAAUUGUACACCAGAUUAUCUUAAAGUAAAUUGUUCGUUGAAUCAGUCUGGGUGCCACUAAAUUGUGGCAUCUCACUGGCCAAAGUCAUAUAAUGGGCUACAACUUUAUAUAAGAUGUUGAACCCGAAUUAGGAGCUAAAACCCAGUCAAAAAUGAUACGCCUGGAUGUGUACUCUGAAGAAACAUUUAUGUAUGUACCUUAAAUUCAGUGAUACACCAGGCAACAAAAAUCCCGCGACACGUGUCGCAACUGUCGCAAGCGACGUCGGAUGUAGUGGCGCGACGUUGCCGAACUUAUCUCGACAUGUCUGGCAACACACGUGUCGCCAGCGUCAGGCGAAGUUUCGUGAACUAGUACGACUUCGCCUGACAUGUCGCCGACUGGUGUCCUGGCUUUAAAACACAACAAUACCAAAAUAACAGUGUUAAAGAAGACGUAUCAGAUUGACUUGUAUUUCAAAGUGGCCACCCAUAUACGAACUAGCAAAAAUACAGAUUAGCAUGACAAAGAUUCAUCAACGUAUAGAUUACUUUUGUAUUUUUAUAUGAGAGCCACUUUAUAUUAACAAUAUUAACAUAGCCCCUUGUUUGUCAAUAAAAUAAUUCAAGACCAUAAUAACUGCGCAUCGCUUUCCGUACCUCAUCCCACAUACAUUUUUUUUAUUACUAAACCAUAGGUUGUCUUUAUUAGCAAAUGAAACUAUGUGAAACGGGUCACUCUAUAUGGAAUCUUAGAUCAGAAGAUUGAAAAAUUCAUCAGCUAGAAACGUUUACAAAAAAGCUGCCAAUCUCAAUCAUAAAAUUAUAUACGCUGAAAUAUAUCUCAAUCCCUUCAUUAUCUACGAGUAUGACUGAUCAUAGCUACAGGGGGCCUACCGCGGAAACCGAAAUUCGCAAAUUGCGGGGAUCUUUCUCUUUUACUCCAAUGAAGGCGUAAUAAGUGACAGAGAAAGAUGCCCGCAAUUUGCGAACUUCGAUUUUCGCGGUUAUAGCCCAGGUCUCAAAGAAAUUUCAAGACUAGAUUGGUGUAGGGACGGAUAACCUAACGAUCGUCUCAAAACCAAAUGCUUUAACUGACCAGGAAGGCUGGCGCAACUAGGCCAAAAGCAAAUUCAAAACUAAUAAUGAUUUUGUGAUCCCUAUUGUUGCA